UACGGGGGGAGCAAGCGUUGUUCGGAUUUACUGGGCGUAAAGGGCGCGUAGGCGGUCAGUGCAAGUCAGUUGUGAAAUCUCCGGGCUUAACUCGGAAAGGUCAACUGAUACUGCUCGACUAGAGUGCGGAAGGGGCAACUGGAAUUCUUGGUGUAGCGGUGAAAUGCGUAGAUAUCAAGAGGAACACCGGUGGCGAAGGCGGCUCUCUGGACGGUGACUGACGCUGAGACGCGAAAGCGUGGGGAGCAAACAGG
RNAcentral lists this ribosomal RNA (254 nucleotides) under uncultured bacterium. RNAcentral describes it as "partial 16S ribosomal RNA". It matches the Rfam family "Bacterial small subunit ribosomal RNA", at positions 524 to 776 of the family's 1533-position model. The record is from RNAcentral.